Pteropus alecto (black flying fox) is the source of this 74-nucleotide non-coding RNA. Lineage: Eukaryota; Metazoa; Chordata; Mammalia; Chiroptera; Pteropodidae. The record is from Rfam.
GGCUCCAUAGUGUAGUGGUUAGCACGUCUGCUUUACACGCAGUAGGUCCUGAGUUCACGCCUCAGGUGGAGCCA